This 253-nucleotide ribosomal RNA is filed under the name uncultured bacterium. Its description in RNAcentral is "partial 16S ribosomal RNA". It matches the Rfam family "Bacterial small subunit ribosomal RNA", at positions 524 to 776 of the family's 1533-position model. The record is from RNAcentral.
UACGGGGGGGGCUAGCGUUGUUCGGAAUUACUGGGCGUAAAGCGCGCGUAGGCGGACCUGCAAGUCGGGGGUGAAAGCCCGAGGCUCAACCUCGGAACUGCCUUCGAUACUGCGGGUCUCGAGUCCGGGAGAGGUGAGUGGAAGUCCUAGUGUAGAGGUGAAAUUCGUAGAUAUUAGGAAGAACACCAGUGGCGAAGGCGGCUCACUGGCCCGGUACUGACGCUGAGGCGCGAAAGCGUGGGGAGCAAACAGG